Molecule: ribosomal RNA, 305 nt
Filed under: uncultured bacterium
Lineage: Bacteria
Description: bacterial SSU rRNA
Rfam family: Bacterial small subunit ribosomal RNA
Source: RNAcentral
UAGAGCCUACGGGAGGCAGCAGUGGGGAAUAUUGCACAAUGGGGGGAACCCUGAUGCAGCGACGCCGCGUGAGUGAAGAAGUCAUUCGUGAUGUAAAGCUCUAUCAGCAGGGAAGAAAAUGACGGUACCUGACUAAGAAGUCCCGGCUAACUACGUGCCAGCAGCCGCGGUAAUACGUAGGGGGCAAGCGUUAUCCGGAUUUACUGGGUGUAAAGGGAGCGUAGACGGCAGCGCAAGUCCGAAGUGAUAGCCCGGGGCCCAACCCCGGGACUGCUUUGGAAACUGUGAAGCUGGAGUGCGGGAGG